Molecule: small nucleolar RNA, 211 nt
Filed under: Sorex araneus (European shrew)
Lineage: Eukaryota; Metazoa; Chordata; Mammalia; Eulipotyphla; Soricidae
Description: Small nucleolar RNA U3 (ENSSARG00000014897.1)
Rfam family: Small nucleolar RNA U3
About the family: Small nucleolar RNAs (snoRNAs) are involved in the processing and modification of rRNA in the nucleolus.
Source: RNAcentral
AAGACUAUACUUCCAGGGAUCAUUUCUAUAGCGUGUUUCUAGAGAGGUUCCUGAUUGUGCAGAGCACUGGAAACCACGAGAAGGAGCCAGAGCCUCCUCUCCUGAGCGCGAAGCCGGUUCUAGGUGUUGCUUCUGUAGCUGCCUUUUACCACUGAUGCUCAUUUCUCUCUUCCUUUGGAAGAGUGAGGGGGAGAGGAUGCACUCUGAAUUG